This 393-nucleotide ribosomal RNA is filed under the name Cardinium endosymbiont of Cybaeus morosus. RNAcentral's name for it is "bacterial SSU rRNA". It matches the Rfam family "Bacterial small subunit ribosomal RNA", at positions 269 to 659 of the family's 1533-position model. The record is from RNAcentral. Lineage: Bacteria; Pseudomonadati; Bacteroidota; Cytophagia; Cytophagales; Amoebophilaceae.
CCAGGCUACGAUGGGUAGGGGUUCUUAGUGGAAGGUCCCCCACACUGGCNCUGAGAUACGGGCCAGACUCCUACGGGAGGCAGCAGUAGGGAAUAUUGGUCAAUGGGCGUAAGCCUGAACCAGCCAUGCCGCGUGCAGGAUGAAGGCUCUCUGAGUUGUAAACUGCUUUUAUACAGGAGCAAAAAAAUCCCUGCGGGGGUUCUUGAGAGUACUGUAAGAAUAAGCACCGGCUAAUUCCGUGCCAGCAGCCGCGGUAAUACGGGAGGUGCAAGCGUUAUCCGGUUUUAUUGGGUUUAAAGGGUGCGUAGGCGGCUUAUUAAGUCAGUUGUGAAAUCCUAGUGCUUAACGCUAGAACUGCGAUUGAUACUAUUAGGCUUGAGUUAAAAUAGGAAA